This 497-nucleotide ribosomal RNA is filed under the name uncultured bacterium. RNAcentral's name for it is "partial 16S ribosomal RNA". It matches the Rfam family "Bacterial small subunit ribosomal RNA", at positions 28 to 507 of the family's 1533-position model. The record is from RNAcentral.
GAUGAACGCUGGCGGCGUGCCUAAUACAUGCAAGUCGAGCGAACGGACGAGAAGCUUGCUUCUCUGAUGUUAGCGGCGGACGGGUGAGUAACACGUGGAUAACCUACCUAUAAGACUGGGAUAACUUCGGGAAACCGGAGCUAAUACCGGAUAAUAUUUUGAACCGCAUGGUUCAAAAGUGAAAGACGGUCUUGCUGUCACUUAUAGAUGGAUCGGCGCUGCAUUAGCUAGUUGGUAAGGUAACGGCUUACCAAGGCAACGAUGCAUAGCCGACCUGAGAGGGUGAUCGGCCACACUGGAACUGAGACACGGUCCAGACUCCUACGGGAGGAAGCAGUAGGGAAUCUUCCGCAAUGGGCGAAAGCCUGACGGAGCAACGCCGCGUGAGUGAUGAAGGUCUUCGGAUCGUAAAACUCUGUUAUUAGGGAAGAACAUAUGUGUAAGUAACUGUGCACAUCUUGACGGUACCUAAUCAGAAAGCCACGGCUAACUACGUG